RNAcentral lists this ribosomal RNA (465 nucleotides) under uncultured ciliate. Its description in RNAcentral is "SSU rRNA". It matches the Rfam family "Eukaryotic small subunit ribosomal RNA". The record is from RNAcentral. Lineage: Eukaryota; Ciliophora.
AUUUGUCUGGUUAAUUCCGAUAACGAACGAGACCUUAACCUGCUAACUAGAUUCUAUCAUCUUAUGGUUGAUAUCUUCUUAGAGGGACUAUGUAAAACAAAUACAUGGAAUUUUGAGGCAAUAACAGGUCAGUGAUGCCCUUAUAUGUCCUGGGCUGCACGCGUGCUACACUGAUGCAUACAACAAGUGCCUAACCAGACAUGGUAUGGCAAUCUCGAAUAUGCAUCGUGAUGGGGAUAGAUCUUUGCAAUUAUAGAUCUUGAACGAGGAAUUCCUAGUAAGUGCAAGUCAUCAUCUUGCAUUGAUUAUGUCCCUGCCCUUUGUACACACCGCCCGUCGCUCCUACCGAUACCGGGUGAUCCGGUGAACCUUUUGGACCUUAACGGGGAAGAUAAGUAAACCAUAUUACCUAGAGGAAGGAGAAGUCGUAACAAGGUUUCCGUACGUGAACCUGCRGAAGGAUCA